RNAcentral lists this ribosomal RNA (468 nucleotides) under uncultured bacterium. RNAcentral's name for it is "partial 16S ribosomal RNA". It matches the Rfam family "Bacterial small subunit ribosomal RNA", at positions 28 to 507 of the family's 1533-position model. The record is from RNAcentral.
GACGAACGCUGGCGGCGUGCCUAACACAUGCAAGUCGAACGGAAAGGCCCUGCUCUUGUUGGGUGCUCGAGUGGCGAACGCGUGAGUAACACGCGUGUAUCCUGCCCUUGUCUUUGGGAUAACUUCAGGAAACUGGGGCUAAUAUCGGAUAGGAGCUCCUGCAGCAUGGUGGGGGUUGGAAAGUUUCGGCUGUUGGGGAUGGACUCGCGGGUUAUCCGCUUGUUGGUGGGGUAGUGGCUUACCAAGGCUUUGACGGGUAGCCGGCCUGGGAGCGUGGACAGCCACAAGAGGACUGAGGGACGGAGCAGACUGCAACGGGAGGCAACAGGCGGAAGUAUUGCGCAGUGAGCGGGAGCCAGAGGCAAAGACGUCGGGUGCGGAAUGACGGCCUACGGGGUGUAAACCGCUUUCGCAUGUGACGAAGCGUGAGUGACGGUAAUGGGUAAAGAAGCAACGGCUAACUACGUG